RNAcentral lists this ribosomal RNA (252 nucleotides) under uncultured bacterium. RNAcentral describes it as "partial 16S ribosomal RNA". It matches the Rfam family "Bacterial small subunit ribosomal RNA", at positions 524 to 776 of the family's 1533-position model. The record is from RNAcentral.
UACGUAGGUGGCAAGCGUUGUCCGGAUUAUUGGGUUUAAAGGGUGCGUAGGCGGCCCUGUAAGUCAGUGCUGAAAUAUCCCAGCUUAACUGGGAGGGUGGCAUUGAUACUGCGGGGCUAGAGUACAGAUGAGGUAGGCGGAAUUGACGGUGUAGCGGUGAAAUGCUUAGAUAUCGUCAAGAACACCUAUAGCGAAGGCAGCUUACUAGGCUGUAACUGACGCUGAGGCACGAAAGUGUGGGGAUCAAACAGG